This 255-nucleotide ribosomal RNA is filed under the name uncultured bacterium. Its description in RNAcentral is "partial 16S ribosomal RNA". It matches the Rfam family "Bacterial small subunit ribosomal RNA", at positions 524 to 776 of the family's 1533-position model. The record is from RNAcentral.
UACGGGGGGGGGCAAGCGUUGUUCGGAAUUACUGGGCGUAAAGGGCUCGUAGGCGGCCAACUAAGUCGGAUGUGAAAUCCCCAGGCUUAACCUGGGAACUGCAUCCGAUACUGGAUGGCUUGAAUCCGGGAGAGGGAUGCAGAAUUCCAGGUGUAGCGGUGAAAUGCGUAGAUAUCUGGAGGAAUACCGGUGGCGAAGGCGGCAUCCUGGGACCGGCAUUGACGCUGAGGAGCGAAAGCUAGGGGAGCAACGGGG